GACGAACGCUGGCGGCGUGCUUAACACAUGCAAGUCGAACGGAAAGGCCUGCUUUCCCUUGUGGAUUGCGGGUACUCGAGUGGCGAACGGGUGAGUAACACGUGAGUGAUCUGCCCCCAACUUGGGUAUAAGCCUGGGAAACUGGGUCUAAUUCCCGAUAGGACUGCAGGGUGGUGCCUACGGUGGAAUACGAUUUUCUAGUGGUUGGGGAUGAGCUCGCGGCCUAUCAGCUUGUUGGUGGGGUAAUGGCCUACCAAGGCGGCGACGGGUAGCCGGCCUGUGAGGGUGGACGGCCACAUUGGGACUGAGAUACGGCCCAGACGCCUACGGGAGGCAGCAGUGGGGAAUAUUGCACAAUGGGCGGAAGCCUGAUGCAGCGACGCCGCGUGGGAGAUGACGGCCUUCGGGUUGUAAUCUCCUUUCGACCGCGAGGAAGCCACCUGGUUGGAAGGGUGGUGACGGUAGUGGUAGAAGAAGCACCGGCUAACUACGUG
This 494-nucleotide ribosomal RNA is filed under the name uncultured bacterium. RNAcentral describes it as "partial 16S ribosomal RNA". It matches the Rfam family "Bacterial small subunit ribosomal RNA", at positions 28 to 507 of the family's 1533-position model. The record is from RNAcentral.